GAUGAACGCUGGCGGCGUGCCUAAUACAUGCAAGUCGAGCGAACGGACGAGAAGCUUGCUUCUCUGAUGUUAGCGGCGGACGAGUGAGUAACACGUGGAUAACCUACCUAUAAGACUGGGAUAACUUCGGGAAACCGGAGCUAAUACCGGAUAAUAUUUUGAACCGCAUGGUUCAAAAGUGAAAGACGGUCUUGCUGUCACUUAUAGAUGGAUCCGCGCUGCAUUAGCUAGUUGGUAAGGUAACGGCUUACCAAGGCAACGAUGCAUAGCCGACCUGAGAGGGUGAUCGGCCACACUGGAACUGAGACACGGUCCAGACUCCUACGGGAGGCAGCAGUAGGGAAUCUUCCGCAAAGGGCGAAAGCCUGACGGAGCAACGCCGCGUGAGUGAUGAAGGUCUUCGGAUCGUAAAACUCUGUUAUUAGGGAAGAACAUAUGUGUAAGUAACUGUGCACAUCUUGACGGUACCUAAUCAGAAAGCCACGGCUAACUACGUG
RNAcentral lists this ribosomal RNA (497 nucleotides) under uncultured bacterium. RNAcentral describes it as "partial 16S ribosomal RNA". It matches the Rfam family "Bacterial small subunit ribosomal RNA", at positions 28 to 507 of the family's 1533-position model. The record is from RNAcentral.